ACUGACCACACUUACAACUCUUCUCUGAAAGUCUUUGCAUUUUCCUUUUCCAACAAUAAUGGACGAAGAACAGCUUCCAGAACCCAAACGCCGGAAAAUCGAAGACACCGUGAUCGAUAUCCUCACAACCGCCGACUUGGAAACGGCCACCGAACUUAGUGUCCGUACCGACGCGGCGGUGCGACUUGGCUGCGACCUCUCUACCCUCCCUCACAAGCGCCUUAUCAGAGAUACUAUCGAAUCCUUCUUGCUCUCUUCCGCCACCUCAGCAGCUCACCCUAAAGAACUGUUGCGUAACAACAACGAGACAGAUAAUCAAGAAAAUGAUCAAGGACGACAGGUGGAUAUUGACGCUGCUCCUGAUCCUGAUACAGCCGACGGUAUUGGUCAGGUCAUCUGUAAGCUCACCUGGAGGAGGAUGGUGACAGUUCGUUCACUAGGAGGCGAGACUUUGGUGUCAAUCUGGGAGUACUAUAGGAAAGAUGGAAAGCAGAUCGCUACUAAUAAAGGUGUUAACAUGACAGUCAAACAAUGGUCGUCUUUUAGGAGUAGCUUCCCUGCUAUAGAAGAAGCUAUCAUCAAGAUGGAAUCAAAGAUAAGAUGUGAACGUGCUAGCAAGAAGACUAAGGCCGAUAAGGCUGUUACAUCAAGGUCAUUUACUGUGGAUGCUCCUGAAGUGAGUGGAAAAACUGAGACAUAUAUCCCGAGUUCAAAUGAUUCCUUUAAUCAUCAAGAGAAUGGCUCUGUAGAAAAGAAACAAGCAGAUAAUUUGGAUGACACCGUGAAGAGUACAAACACUGAAGGUCUAAUUUCCAUUCAGAGAAAUCAGAAGCUGCUGGCUACUUCUAGUCCAAUGCCUAAUUCUGCUCCCGAGGAGCGGAUGCAACAUAAUUCUCUUACAAACUUCCCUUCUGUGGGCCUUGUUCCCAUUACACGUCUUGAUGGGAAAAAUUAUUAUUGUUGGAAGCAUCUGAUGGAAUUUUUCCUGAAGCAAUUGAAUAUUGCAUAUGUGCUCACUGAACCCUGCCCAAAAGUUCCCAUUACCCCAGAAGUGAGUAGUGAAGAAACUCUCCAAGCUAAGGCUGCUGUAAAAAAAUGGAUUCAUGAUGAUCAUGUAUGCUGUCGCAGCAUAUUGAACUCUUUAUCUGACAAACUUUUUGAGGAGUACUCAAAUAAGACAUACACAUCCAAGGAGCUGUGGGAAAAGCUCAAAUUGAUUUAUGACGAGGAUUUUGGAACAAUGAGGUCUCAAGUGAACAAGUAUAUACAAUUUCAAAUACUUGAUGGUAUAUCAAUUCUUGACCAAGUUAUAGAGCUAAACAAUAUUGCAGAUUCUAUAAUGGCAUCAGGAGUUUUGGUGGACGAGAAUUUUCAUGUCAGUGCUAUUAUCUCCAAGCUCCCACCUUCCUGGAAGGAUUAUCGUGUGAAAUUGAUGAAUGAGAAGUUCCUACCUCUGAAGAUGUUGAUGCAUCGACUGAAAACUGAAGAAGAUUCUCGUGAUCACUACAGAUAUAGAAAGCCCGUUGGAAGUUCUCGUGAUGGGUCAAAGCAUGAUUGCACAUUUGUACCAAGAAACUGAUGCAAGCAUGGUGGAUAGGUGCUCUUCAGCAGAAAAUUCUAUGUUAUGAAAAGAUGGUUCUGCUAGGGUUACACAGAAAUCACCACUUGUAUCAGCAAUUCAGCAUAACUCAUCUCAGCCAAGCAGCACGAUAAGCCAUUUAUCUUCCCCGAUCAAUUGAACUUAAGAGAUUUUGUUCAUUGUUCUACUCCAGUUUCCUUUACUCUGCUAUUGCCUGGUUGUCUGUUUUUGGAUAUGAAGUCCCCACACACAUUCAACGACUAGGUAUGACUAUAACAGCCUAAUGUUCCAUUGGACUAACUCCUCGAAGGCAUUAGCAAAGAAGAUGCAUUUUUACAAAUUACAGCAGGGCAUGUUCUUUGAACUAAGAGGCAAAGACAUGGCUGCUGAAGAAGAGUGGCAGCAGGGGACACGCAAAAUUACAUUUUGGUGUUCUUAGAUCCCAACAAGAAGUUGCAGAUUGUCUUAUGGAAGAAGAGUUGAGGGAUAAAAGAAACAAAUGAACAUUGAUGGUAGCAGUAGGGAUAAGGAUGUUUAUAUUAUGCAUUAGACAAUUUUGAGCAGUUUUAUUCUGUAAAUUGAUUGAGGAAAAAUAUAGAAAAUAAAACACUAAUAAAAGGUCUUCUCAUAAUUGUGGU
Ipomoea nil (Japanese morning glory) is the source of this 2217-nucleotide RNA transcript. RefSeq lists it as uncharacterized. NCBI's taxonomy places the organism in Eukaryota, Viridiplantae, Streptophyta, Magnoliopsida, Solanales, Convolvulaceae. The record is from RefSeq and is a predicted model, not a curated record. The transcript is spliced from 6 exons.